UCGUGGGGUGACUUGUCUGCUUAAUUGCGAUAACGAACGAGACCUUAACCUGCUAAAUAGCUAGGCUAGCUUUGGCUGGUCGCCGGCUUCUUAGAGGGACUAUCGGCUCAAGCCGAUGGAAGUUUGAGGCAAUAACA
Molecule: ribosomal RNA, 137 nt
Filed under: uncultured eukaryote
Lineage: Eukaryota
Description: partial 18S ribosomal RNA
Rfam family: Eukaryotic small subunit ribosomal RNA
Source: RNAcentral